Molecule: long non-coding RNA, 4175 nt
Filed under: Arachis ipaensis
Lineage: Eukaryota; Viridiplantae; Streptophyta; Magnoliopsida; Fabales; Fabaceae
Description: long non-coding RNA (AIPA_LNC001849)
Source: RNAcentral
GAACCAUACCAAAAGAGGUUGGAAACAUGAGACAACUGGAGUCUCUUGAUUUAUCCAAAAAUGAACUCACGGGAGGGAUUCCUGAGAGCCUGUCUAGUUUGUCUUUCCUCAAUAACUUGAACCUGUCAUUCAAUAACUUGAGCGGCCAAAUCCCAUCAGGGACCCAACUUCAGAGCUUCAGUGAGCUUAGCUAUAUUGGAAAUGCUGAUCUUUGUGGACCUCCCCUUCCCAAAAACUGCUCAAAUCAUGAUGAUGGCACAAAGACUUCGGGUGAGAAUGAUGAUGAUGAUGAUGAUGAUGAUGAAUCUGAGUUUCGGAACUGCCUCUAUAUGGGCUUAGGAGUUGGCUUUGCUGUAGGCUUUUGGGGAGUUUGUGGUGCCAUUUUCUUCAGUCGCAAGUGCAGACAUGCUUACUUCAGAUUUCUGUAUGACUUGAGAGACCGAUUUUAUGUCCUGCUGCUCACAAAUCUCAACUCCUUUCACUGAUAUCCAAUUCUCUGCAGGUAACCUCUUAACUAUGGCAUAACUAUAUAUACUUUGUAUUUUAGUAUUUUCUUACCAUCUAACAUACAUAUUUAAAAGGUAAAAUGUUUUGAGUUUUAUUUUCUGUUAUAUAUGGACAUGCACCCUUUCGAAUCAAUUAUAUUUAUUUCUUGGAUUAACUUCCACAAAUGACUUGAAUGGGUAGAGAUUUAAAAAAAAAAAUUCUUAUCUUUGCAGGUUUUUUUGAAGAACAUAAUACAUAAAAUCUCAUCAGCUGCACCUGCCAUAAAGAUCCAGCAGAUACUUCAUGCAGUGUAUUGCGCUUACAGUAUCACUAGCUAAUCAUUGAAUCCCAAUGUCACUUUUAUAUUCUAAAAUAAAGCUUAGAUAUAGUUUCUUGGUUUUGAUGCAGAAUAUUAUUUCUCUAAUCAUUUGUGUAAUGUUACUUACUGGUAUGUGAUGCAUUAAUUAUAUAUAUAGUAGGUCACAAGGAUUUGUUUCUAGUGUGAUGGUUCUACAUAGAUAUUCCAAGUGAUGAUUGUUUUCUUAUUAAUAGUUUGUGCUUUGCUAUAAGCUACUGCUUUGUGUGUACAAGAUAAUAAGUUAACAACUAAGAAGGAAAUAGUAUCUCUUAAUUUCACACCAGCUAAAUGACAGGAAAUGAAGAGUUAAUAUUGUUUGAAUGUAUGUAUAAUAAUUUAUAUUUAUUUGUUUAUUUUUAUUAGGAUAAAAGUGAGACCCACUUUAAUACAUCUAAGAAUUUUCUUAUCACAAAAUGUGUUACAUAUAUAUAAUGCUAGAGGCCUAGAAUUAAAGAGUGCUUUGCUUUACAUUUUUUGGGAAUGCAUCUCAUUUUAUUACUUGCAGUGUACAAAAUAAUGGGUGAUUUACUCUCUGUUGUUUUAAACUACUUUUGAUCAAGUCACCAAAAAAAAGACUACUUUUGGACGGGCCUAACUAUUUAAUGAAGAAGCUUUCUGUAAAAGUCCAAUACAACAAGAGCCCAACAUGAGAAUACUAUCUCCUUUACUUUACAGUUUACACCUAUCAUCCUGUGCUGAGUAACAAAGAAGUUAUCAUCCAUAAUGAAUGGUGCUCACUAGAGGAAGAAACUUUCCACAGCUGAUGGAGGAAUACACAAGUCAGUCAAGUGUCCCUAAAAUUCCACAUCUAUAAUGACUUUCCAACCACAAGAGUAAGAGAUAUGAUUCAGUUGGUCUUGCAUGAAUGGCACCUAUCGUAAUCGUACUCUUGCUAUAUAUACAUAGCUUAACAAAGAAGCGAGAUAUGAACCCUAAUUAUAAUUCAGGUUUGCUUUCUUUAAUUAAUCAAUGGAUAGCAAUAAUAUACUUUGGAAGAAGCAAUAUGUGUUUGCAAUGAUGUUGAGCACAUUAUGCAUGAUAUCCAGUUGUUGCGACGUGAGAGAUAAAGAAAUCCUGUUGAAGUUCAAAGAAGGAGUCACUGACCCAUCGGGACUCCUAUCUUCAUGGAAGCAGGAGCAGGAUUGCUGCCAGUGGAAGGGAGUCAGAUGCCACAACAUCACUGCCAGAGUCAUAAAUCUCACUCUCUCGUGUGAUUAUUAUGAUCCUGUAGAACUUGUAGAACAUGAUGAUUAUUAUUUGCAGAAAUGCCUUACAGGUGACAUCAAUCUCUCUCUAUUGGAUAUGGAAUACUUACAAUCUUUGGAUUUGAGUUUCAAUGACUUUACAACUAUCUCAUCUGAUUCCACUCUCAACUCUUCAACUCUCAAUUACAUUGAUCUAUCAUACAACAGAUACCUUUCUAUCAAGAGUCUUGAGUGGCUCUCUCGCAUUCCCUCCUUGGAAUACAUAGACCUCAGUAACAUUGAUCUUCACAUGCAAACUAACUGGCUUCACUUUGUGACGGUGCUUCCAUCAUUGGUGGAGCUCCACUUAGAGGGCUGUAACCUUGAAAGCAUAAGUCCAUCUCUAGGCUAUGCUAAUUUUAGCGCAUCACUCCAGGUUAUUGUUCUUUCCGGUAAUUCUUUUCACUCGGAGUUGCCUAAAUGGAUAUUCAAUCUUAGUUCUCAGGUCCAUCAGAUUGACCUUUCAAGUAAUCAUUUUAUGGGUCAGCUACCAAAUACGUUGCCAAAUCUUCAUUCUUUGAUUAGCCUUCAAUUGCAUGAUAAUUACUUAAAUGGCUCAAUUCCAGAUUGGAUAGGCCAACUUCACUAUCUCACCACAUUUGAAAUUGAUAACAACCAUUUUUCUGGAUUUUUUCCUACAAAUUUGGGAAAUUUGUCAUCCCUAGACACCUUGGCGGCAUUCGGAAAUCUCUUCACAGGGGUUGUGUCUGAAAGAAAUUUUGCAAAACUGAAAAAUUUGAAAUUCUUGUCUUUGGAAUCACCAUACAUCACCUUUGAUUUUGAUCCCCUCUGGAUACCACCUUUCCAACUUGACAAGCUGUACAUUGGACCACUGCACCCUACACUUCCUCAAUGGUUAUAUACACAGACAUCUCUCUAUUCUCUCAUCAUUGAAAACUCAGAGUUCUUGCUUGAAGCUGCUGACAAUAACAAGAAGUUUUGGAGAUUUACAUCCACAAUUCAGCAUCUAGAUUUCUACAACACCACAAUAGAAGGGGACUUGUCAGAAGUGGUGCUGAAUUCCAGCAUCAUAGAGCUGACAUCAAAUAAUUUCAAAGGUGGUCUACCUCGACUUUCAUCCAAUGUUGUUUUCUUCCAACUAUACAACAGUUCUCUAUCAGGGUCCAUCUCUCAUCUUUUGUGCCACAGCAAGAAAAGCAACAAGAAAUUGCAGUACUUGGACAUCUCUGAUAAUAAUUUAUCUGGAGGGCUAACAGACUGUUGGAUGAAUUGGAAGUCGCUGGUUUAUGUUAAUCUGGGAGGCAACAAUCUUAGUGGCAGCAUACCCCCUUCAAUGGCUUUAUUGUCGAAUCUCACAUCACUGCAUCUGCAUGAAAAUAAUUUGUCUGGGGACAUAUCUUCUUCAUCACUUCAGUAUUGCCGCUCCCUGUCCAUUCUUAAUGUCCGCCAGAAUAGCUUCUCUGGAAACAUACCAAAGUGGAUGCCGCAGAGUAUAAGGAUUCUCCAGUUAAGGUCCAACCAAUUCAUUGGUAACAUUCCCACACAGAUAUGUCAAAUGCCUUUCCUCAUUGUUUUGGAUAUUGCAUAUAACAAAAUCUCAGGACAUAUACCCAAAUGUCUAAACAACAUCACAUCCUUUGUUAACAUGCAUUAUUCAACCAGUUGGAUUUUCUAUGAAUUCUUUGAUGGAAAGGCUUUCUUUAUAUACAUUGACGACCUUAUAUUGCUUGUAAAAGGUCAACAAUCGAAUUAUUAUAAAAACCUGAAGCUGAUGCGCAUGGUUGAUCUUUCAAGUAAUAAUCUGACAGGAACAAUGUCUCCACAACUGUUCAGCCUCCCUCAGUUGCAUUUCUUGAACCUAUCCCAUAACAGGCUAACAGGAACCAUACCAAAAGAGAUUGGAAACAUGACACAACUGGAGUCUCUUGAUUUAUCCAAAAAUGAACUCACGGGACAGAUUCCUGAGAGUAUAUCCAGUUUGUCUUUCCUCGAUAACUUGAACCUGUCAUUCAAUAACUUGAGCGGCCAAAUCCCAUCAGGGACCCAACUUCAGAGCUUCAGUGAGCUUAGCUAUAUUGGGAAUGCUGAUCUUUGUGGACCUCCCCUUCCCAAAAACUGCUCAAAUC